CUCUAGGUGAUGAGUCUCAAAUAGGACGGAACGGACGUCCUAAAU
Molecule: non-coding RNA, 45 nt
Filed under: Schistosoma bovis
Lineage: Eukaryota; Metazoa; Platyhelminthes; Trematoda; Strigeidida; Schistosomatidae
Also listed under: 1 other name
Source: RNAcentral